Molecule: long non-coding RNA, 491 nt
Filed under: Callithrix jacchus (white-tufted-ear marmoset)
Lineage: Eukaryota; Metazoa; Chordata; Mammalia; Primates; Cebidae
Description: lncRNA (ENSCJAG00000084853.1)
Source: RNAcentral
AUGUGUCGAGUAGUCAAAUAAUAAAGAUAUUAUUUUUCUGAAUUUUUGUACUAUUUGUCAGCUUUUAAAACUUUGUAACAUGCUAUCAUUUCUUUUCUCAUUUUAGGUAAAAUAUUCAAUUUCAUACUUAAUUUCGUAUUUGUAACUUUGCAUUCUUUUUCCUAGGGAAGGAGCUCACCUCACCACUAAUUGUCUAAGCCUCAGUUUCCACAAAAACUGGAUCUUCCCUGACAUCAUCGUUUAUUAUAGGGUGAGCCUGCAAAUCUCUGACUCAAGAGGACCUGGGUGAGAUGUCACACUGCAAACAGAGGUAAAGGUAGAGUCAGCUCUAUCUGAAACACAGACUGAAUAAGAGAAGAGUGGUUUCCCCAGAGGAAACAUGGGGUAACAAUAAUAAUCAUAUGGAGAGGAAGCAAGGAAAUACUGGGUAGAGAAGGGCGGUUCCCUGGCAAGGGCCUCAUUCUCAUGCCUGGAAACUCACGGGAAUAGGC